This 432-nucleotide ribosomal RNA is filed under the name uncultured bacterium. RNAcentral's name for it is "partial 16S ribosomal RNA". It matches the Rfam family "Bacterial small subunit ribosomal RNA", at positions 338 to 795 of the family's 1533-position model. The record is from RNAcentral.
CCUACGGGGGGCAGCAGUGGGGAAUAUUGGACAAUGGGCGCAAGCCUGAUCCAGCCAUGCCGCGUGUGUGAAGAAGGCCUUCGGGUUGUAAAGCACUUUUGUGAAAAGACCGGUACCGGAAGAAUAAGCACCGGCUAACUUCGUGCCAGCAGCCGCGGUAAUACGAAGGGUGCAAGCGUUACUCGGAAUUACUGGGCGUAAAGCGUGCGUAGGUGGUUCGUUAAGUCUGAUGUGAAAGCCCUGGGCUCAACCUGGGAAUGGCAUUGGAUACUGGCGACCUAGAGUGCGGUAGAGGGGUGUGGAAUUCCCGGUGUAGCAGUGAAAUGCGUAGAUAUCGGGAGGAACAUCUGUGGCGAAGGCGACACCCUGGACCAGACUGACACUGAGGCACGAAAGCGUGGGGAGCAAACAGGAUUAGAUACCCUUGUAGUC